Molecule: small nuclear RNA, 107 nt
Organism: Cebus imitator (Panamanian white-faced capuchin)
Lineage: Eukaryota; Metazoa; Chordata; Mammalia; Primates; Cebidae
Source: RefSeq, a predicted model, not a curated record
GGGCUCACUUCAACAACACAUAGACUGAAAUUGGAACAAUACAGAGAAGAUUAGCAUGACCCCUGUGCAAAAAUGACACAUAAAUGUGUGAAGUAUUUCAUGUGUUA